RNAcentral lists this transfer RNA (85 nucleotides) under Felis catus (domestic cat). It matches the Rfam family "tRNA". From Rfam's summary of the family: Transfer RNA (tRNA) molecules are approximately 80 nucleotides in length. Their secondary structure includes four short double-helical elements and three loops (D, anti-codon, and T loops). The record is from Rfam by way of RNAcentral. Lineage: Eukaryota; Metazoa; Chordata; Mammalia; Carnivora; Felidae.
GCCUGAGUGGCUCAGUUGGUUAGGCAUCUGACUUCAGCUCAGGUCAUGAUCUUGGUAUUUGUGAGUUCGAGCCCCACAUUGGGCU